Molecule: ribosomal RNA, 253 nt
Filed under: uncultured bacterium
Lineage: Bacteria
Description: partial 16S ribosomal RNA
Rfam family: Bacterial small subunit ribosomal RNA
Source: RNAcentral
UACGAAGGGGGCUAGCGUUGCUCGGAAUUACUGGGCGUAAAGGGCGCGUAGGCGGACAGUUUAGUCAGAGGUGAAAGCCCAGGGCUCAACCUUGGAAUAGCCUUUGAUACUGGCUGUCUUGAGUUCGGGAGAGGUGAGUGGAAUGCCGAGUGUAGAGGUGAAAUUCGUAGAUAUUCGGCGGAACACCAGUGGCGAAGGCGACUCACUGGCCCGAUACUGACGCUGAGGCGCGAAAGCGUGGGGAGCGAACAGG